RNAcentral lists this ribosomal RNA (260 nucleotides) under uncultured bacterium. RNAcentral's name for it is "partial 16S ribosomal RNA". It matches the Rfam family "Bacterial small subunit ribosomal RNA", at positions 100 to 354 of the family's 1533-position model. The record is from RNAcentral.
GAACGGGUGAGUAACACGUGGGCAACCUGCCCAAAAGAGGGGGAUAACACUUGGAAACAGGUGCUAAUACCGCAUAACCAUAGUUACCGCAUGGUAACUAUGUAAAAGGUGGCUAUGCUACCGCUUUUGGAUGGGCCCGCGACGCAUUAGCUAGUUGGUGGGGUAAAGGCUUACCAAGGCAAUGAUGCGUAGCCGAACUGAGAGGUUGAUCGGCCACAUUGGGACUGAGACACGGCCCAAACUCCUACGGGAGGCAGCAG